Cyanistes caeruleus (blue tit) is the source of this 415-nucleotide non-coding RNA. The record is from RefSeq and is a predicted model, not a curated record. NCBI's taxonomy places the organism in Eukaryota, Metazoa, Chordata, Aves, Passeriformes, Paridae.
UCUCUGAAGGUACACAAGAAAUUGACUCUCCUGUGAGAGCACCAAACAGAAGGAAACUUCUGCUCUUUUUGCUUAGAAAAGGUCUCGCUCUUUAAAUACAGGACUCACUGGAGUGACACUCACCUAGAACACCCAAAUUUUGACUUCAUAGGCAGGUACCUCAACGAGAUGGAGAACUGGGCUGAUGGAAGCACUGUAAAUUUCAACAAAAUAAAAGCAAAGUCCUUCUCCUGGAGGGGAACAACCCCCUGCAGCAAUACCUGCUGAGAAAAGCUGCAAAGCAACCUUACAGAGAAGGUUUUCAUCUACAAACAGGACAAAACCACAAGAUUUGAGGAAUUGCAAUUGGAACACUUCAUGAAUUUUAUGCAUGCAAGCAUUAAUACCAAGAAUUCUGUAUUAUGAAUAUGUGAAA